Molecule: ribosomal RNA, 201 nt
Filed under: uncultured bacterium
Lineage: Bacteria
Description: partial 16S ribosomal RNA
Rfam family: Bacterial small subunit ribosomal RNA
Source: RNAcentral
UACGUAGGGGGCAAGCGUUGUCCGGAAUCAUUGGGCGUAAAGAGCGUGUAGGCGGCCCGGUAAGUCCGCUGUGAAAGUCCAGGGCUCAACCCUGGGAUGCCGGUGGAUACUGUCGGGCUCGAGUCCGGAAGAGGAGUGUGGAAUUCCUGGUGUAGCGGUGAAAUGCGCAGAUAUCAGGAGGAACACCGGUGGCGAAGGCGG